This 500-nucleotide ribosomal RNA is filed under the name uncultured bacterium. RNAcentral's name for it is "partial 16S ribosomal RNA". It matches the Rfam family "Bacterial small subunit ribosomal RNA", at positions 30 to 523 of the family's 1533-position model. The record is from RNAcentral.
AUUGAACGCUGGCGGCAGGCUUAACACAUGCAAGUCGAGCGGGGGAGGUUACUUCGGUAACUGACCUAGCGGCGGACGGGUGAGUAAUGCUUAGGAAUCUGCCUAUUAGUGGGGGACAACAUUCCGAAAGGAAUGCUAAUACCGCAUACGUCCUACGGGGGAAAGCAGGGGAUCUUCGGACCUUGCGCUAAUAGAUGAGCCUAAGUCGGAUUAGCUAGUUGGUGGGGUAAAGGCCUACCAAGGCGACGAUCUGUAGCGGGUCUGAGAGGAUGAUCCGCCACACUGGACUGAGACACGGCCCAGACUCCUACGGGAGGCAGCAGUGGGGAAUAUUGGACAAUGGGCGGAAGCCUGAUCCAGCCAUGCCGCGUGUGUGAAGAAGGCCUUUUGGUUGUAAAGCACUUUAAGCGAGGAGGAGGCUCCUUUAGUUAAUACCUAAAGUGAGUGGACGUUACUCGCAGAAUAAGCACCGGCUAACUCUGUGCCAGCCGCCGCCGUAA